UUGAGCUCUUCGCCUGUCGUAGUCCACGACAAUCCUGCAUGCUCUAGACCUACUUCUCUGAAAGGUGCAGCUGGCAAAAUUUAUUAUCGGAGCAAAGAAGGCGAGACCAUCCGUUUGAUUCGCCUUUGCAUUUUUGGCGCUCUGGGCUCGUUCCCAAUUGGUUUUGUGGCCCAGGCUCGGCUCGUUCUCGCCGACGUGGGAGGUACCUGCAGGCCCGCGGCCAGCAGGACAACAAGAUGGUCCGGACUCCGGAACAUGGAGGAGCUGCUGGCCCGGAUCAUGGCACACACGACGUGGCCAGGCGGUGGUGACGCCGACAGACGACGACGCUCGGACAAGAGCGAGAGCAACGAGGUUACGAGGACGACUGGGUCGAGAUCCAGACGUUGGGGCUGCUGGACGUGGCGGUGUCGUACCUGA
Molecule: unclassified non-coding RNA, 420 nt
Filed under: Zea mays
Lineage: Eukaryota; Viridiplantae; Streptophyta; Magnoliopsida; Poales; Poaceae
Description: misc RNA Zm00001eb364670
Source: RNAcentral